GUGCCAGCAGCCGCGGUAAUACCGGCAGCACGAGUGAUGGCCGAUUUUAUUGGGCCUAAAGCGUUCGUAGCCGGCCGGACAAGUCCGUUGGGAAAUCCACGCGCUCAACGCGUGGGCGUCCAGCGGAAACUAUCCGGCUUGGGGCCGGAAGACUCGAGGGGUACGUCCGGGGUAGGAGUGAAAUCCCGUAAUCCUGGACGGACCGCCGAUGGCGAAAGCACGUCGCGAGAACGGAUCCGACAGUGAGGGACGAAAGCCAGGGUCUCGAACCGGAUUAGAUACCCUGGUAGUCC
Molecule: ribosomal RNA, 293 nt
Filed under: uncultured bacterium
Lineage: Bacteria
Description: partial 16S ribosomal RNA
Rfam family: Archaeal small subunit ribosomal RNA
Source: RNAcentral